Molecule: ribosomal RNA, 119 nt
Filed under: Carlito syrichta (Philippine tarsier)
Lineage: Eukaryota; Metazoa; Chordata; Mammalia; Primates; Tarsiidae
Source: RNAcentral
GUCUGUGGCCACACCACCCUGAGCGCGCCCGAUCUCGUCUGGUUUCGGAAGCUAAGCAGGGUCGGGCCUGGUUCGUACUCGGAUGGGAGGCCGCCUGGGAAUACCGGGUGCUGGAGGCU